This 71-nucleotide transfer RNA is filed under the name Clostridia bacterium. RNAcentral's name for it is "tRNA-Gly". It matches the Rfam family "tRNA". From Rfam's summary of the family: Transfer RNA (tRNA) molecules are approximately 80 nucleotides in length. Their secondary structure includes four short double-helical elements and three loops (D, anti-codon, and T loops). Lineage: Bacteria; Bacillati; Bacillota; Clostridia. The record is from RNAcentral.
GCAGGAUUAGUACAUCGGUAGUAUAUGAGCUUCCCAAGCUCAGGAGGAGGGUUCGAUUCCCUUAUCCUGCU